Molecule: ribosomal RNA, 1349 nt
Filed under: metagenome
Description: bacterial LSU rRNA
Rfam family: Bacterial large subunit ribosomal RNA
Source: RNAcentral
UGAGUGCGAGCGGCUACGGCCGCGAAGUGGGUGAUGUCAAGCUUCCAAGAAAAGCCCUAUACCCGUUAAGGCAUGAUGGCCUGUACCCGAAACCGACACAGGUGGGGUGGUAGAGAAUACCGAGGGGCGCGAGGUAACUCUCUCUAAGGAACUCGGCAAAAUGGCCCCGUAACUUCGGGAGAAGGGGUGCCACCGCAAGGUGGUCGCAGUGAAGAGGCCCAGGCGACUGUUUACCAAAAACACAGGUCUCCGCUAAGUCGCAAGACGAUGUAUGGGGGCUGACGCCUGCCCAGUGCCGGAAGGUUAAGGAAGCUGGUCAGCGCAAGCGAAGCUAGCGACUGAAGCCCCGGUGAACGGCGGCCGUAACUAUAACGGUCCUAAGGUAGCGAAAUUCCUUGUCGGGUAAGUUCCGACCCGCACGAAAGGCGUAACGAUCUGGGCGCUGUCUCGGAGAGAGGCUCGGCGAAAUAGAAUUGUCUGUGAAGAUGCGGACUACGUGCACCCGGACAGAAAGACCCUAUGAAGCUUUACUGUAGCUUGGUAUUGUGCCCGGGCUCUGAAUGCGCAGGAUAGGUGGGAGGCUUUGAUCCAUGGCUUGCGGGUCAUGGUGAGCCAACGGUGAGAUACCACUCUUUCAGAGCUAGGGUUCUAACGGUCACCCGUCAUCCGGGGACCGGACAGUAUCAGGUGGGCAGUUUGACUGGGGCGGUCGCCUCCUAAAAGGUAACGGAGGCGCGCAAAGGUUUGCUCAGGCUGGUUGGAAAUCAGCCGACGAGUGCAAAAGCAGAAGCAAGCUUGACUGUGAGACCUACAAGUCGAACAGGGACGAAAGUCGGCUUUAGUGAUCCGACGGUUCUGAGUGGAAGGGCCGUCGCUCAACGGAUAAAAGUUACUCUAAGGAUAACAGGCUGAUCUCCCCCAAGAGUUCACAUCGACGGGGAGGUUUGGCACCUCGAUGUCGGCUCAUCGCAACCUGGGGCUGAAGUCGGUCCCAAGGGUUGGGCUGUUCGCCCAUUAAAGCGGUACGCGAGCUGGGUUCAGAACGUCGUGAGACAGUUCGGUCCAUAUCCGGUGCACGCGCAGGAACAUUGAGAGGAUUUCUCCCUAGUACGAGAGGACCGGGAGGAACGCACCUCUGGUGUGCCAGUUAUCGUGCCAACGGUAAACGCUGGGUAGCCAUGUGCGGAGUGGAUAACCGCUGAAAGCAUCUAAGUGGGAAGCCCACCUCAAGAUGAGUGUUCCCAUGGCAUAAGCCAGUAAGGUCACGGGAAGAACACCCGUUGAUAGGCUCUACGUGGAAGCCGGGUAACCGGUGAAGCGGAGGAGUACUAAUAGACCGAGGGCUUGAC